ACCUAAAGUWGUUNNUUACCNACCWCUAAUCAACCCCCACCCCUGCUUUAGAGCAAUUCAAAUGAGGUACAGCCCAUUUGACAMAGGAUACNACCUUCACUUACGGGUANAAACCCAACUCGCACCUUAAAGUAGGCCUAAAAGCAGCCACCUUUUAAAAAGCGUCAAAGCUUAGNNNCCCCUGGCGGUAUUAAUUCAAAAACCCAUAUUAACCCCUUCAACUGUACUGAGAACUUCUAUAACCCUAUAGAACCUUUUAUGCUAAAACUAGUAACAAGAGAAAACCNNNCUCUCAUAAUGCAAACAUAAGCCAGCAAGAACCCAUCACUGGCAAUUAACAGNCCCUAACCAAAAGCAGCAACCUCACUAGAAAACCCUACUUCCACCAACUGUUAACCUAACACCAGAGCAUUUCAAGAAAGAUUAAAAGAAAAAGAAGGAACUCGGCAAAUCCAAGUCCCGCCUGUUUACCAAAAACAUCGCCUCCUGCUUNCCCAUAGGAGGUCCAACCUGCCCAGUGACCCUGUUCAACGGCCGCGGUAUCCUAACCGUGCAAAGGUAGCGUAAUCACUUGUUUUCUAAAUAAAGACCUGUAUGAAAGGUUUAACGAGGACUAAACUGUCUCCUUUUUCCAAUCAGUAAACCUAAUCUCCCCGUGAAAAAGCGGGAAUUCCCAUAUA
Molecule: ribosomal RNA, 680 nt
Filed under: Pristimantis orestes (Urdaneta robber frog)
Lineage: Eukaryota; Metazoa; Chordata; Amphibia; Anura; Strabomantidae
Description: partial 16S ribosomal RNA
Rfam family: Bacterial large subunit ribosomal RNA (bases 456-615)
Source: RNAcentral